This 429-nucleotide ribosomal RNA is filed under the name Chloroflexota bacterium. RNAcentral describes it as "Chloroflexi bacterium partial 16S ribosomal RNA". It matches the Rfam family "Bacterial small subunit ribosomal RNA", at positions 355 to 776 of the family's 1533-position model. The record is from RNAcentral. Lineage: Bacteria; Bacillati; Chloroflexota.
UGGGGAAUAUUGCACAAUGGGCGCAAGCCUGAUGCAGCCAUGCCGCGUGUGUGAAGAAGGCCUUCGGGUUGUAAAGUACUUUCAGCGGGGAGGAAGGGAGUAAAGUUAAUACCUUUGCUCAUUGACGUUACCCGCAGAAGAAUCACCGGCUAACUCCGUGCCAGCAGCCGCGGUAAUACGGAGGGUGCAAGCGUUAAUCGGAAUUACUGGGCGUAAAGCGCACGCAGGCGGUUUGUUAAGUCAGAUGUGAAAUCCCCGGGCUCAACCUGGGAACUGCAUCUGAUACUGGCAAGCUUGAGUCUCGUAGAGGGGGGUAGAAUUCCAGGUGUAGCGGUGAAAUGCGUAGAGAUCUGGAGGAAUACCGGUGGCGAAGGCGGCCCCCUGGACGAAGACUGACGCUCAGGUGCGAAAGCGUGGGGAGCAAACAGG